This is a long non-coding RNA of Corticium candelabrum, 563 nucleotides long. RefSeq lists it as uncharacterized. The transcript is spliced from 3 exons. The record is from RefSeq and is a predicted model, not a curated record. Lineage: Eukaryota; Metazoa; Porifera; Homoscleromorpha; Homosclerophorida; Plakinidae.
AAUCGAUCAACUUGGUACUUGUAUAGAGUACUUGUUUACAAGGUGCACAAGUUUCAACCACAGCAUUAUUGUUCAUUUUGGAUUUGGCUUGUCAUGCCUUAAUCUAUGGCAGGCUCUUUGCAAAUUAAGGGAUCAAGACGGCUUUGCGAAGUACCGGAGUCAAAUUGAACGAGCAACGAAAUUGACCACGAUUUCAGCUGCAAGAAACCAUUGAGGGAGAAAGGUACACAAAUUAACGCAUUGCAGAAAGACUAACAAAAUCGUUCAAUUACCAUCUUCAAAACUAUGCUUUUGGCGUAAAAGAAAUGUUCUGGAAUGAUUGUGUUUGCUGGCACAGAUGGUUAAUAGACUUUGCGGCUGCGGUUGAGCAAUUUUUCACUUUAAUAGCUGAUAACAACAAGGCUGAGAAAACUGAGAAAGAUAUAAUGGCUAAAGUAAUUUUAGUUAUCCUUAUUCUUUACUCAAAACGCAUGUAGAACAGUGCUUGGUGUCUGCCAAGGAGUAACGUUUCCAGCACCAGUUUGCUUUGGACUUGACUUGCUUAGCAAAUAUACAGCAGAAAC